CCUACGGGAGGCAGCAGUGGGGGAUAUUGCACAAUGGGGGGAACCCUGAUGCAGCGACGCCGCGUGGGUGAAGGAGCGUUUCGGCGCGUAAAGCCCUAUCGGCAGGGAAGAAGGUGACGGUACCUGACCAAGAAGCCCCGGCUAACUACGGGCCAGCAGCCGCGGUGAUACGUCGGGGGCAAGCGUUCACCGGGUUUACUGGGUGUAAAGGGGGCGCAGACGGGAAUGCAAGCCAGGAGUGAAAGCCCUGGGCCCAACCCCGGGACUGCUGUUGGAACUGCAUGGCUGGAGUACGGGAGGGGCAGGCGGAAUGCCUGGUGUAGCGGUGAAAUGCGUAGAUAUUAGGAGGAACACCGGUGGCGAAGGCGGCCUGCUGGAGUGUGACUGACGUUGAGGCCCGAAGGCGUGGGGAGCGAACAGGAUUAGAUACCCCAGUAGUC
Molecule: ribosomal RNA, 440 nt
Filed under: uncultured bacterium
Lineage: Bacteria
Description: partial 16S ribosomal RNA
Rfam family: Bacterial small subunit ribosomal RNA
Source: RNAcentral